Molecule: ribosomal RNA, 753 nt
Filed under: Microbacterium esteraromaticum
Lineage: Bacteria; Bacillati; Actinomycetota; Actinomycetes; Micrococcales; Microbacteriaceae
Description: bacterial SSU rRNA
Rfam family: Bacterial small subunit ribosomal RNA
Source: RNAcentral
AUGGGGAGGCUAACAAGUCUUUGAUUACCCCUGGUAUUAAAGACCGUAGACGUUAGAAAAUAGUUAACAAGUCAUUAACUCGGAUACCGUGACGCAGCUUACGCGUUAAGUUAACCACCUGGGGAGUACGGCCGCAAGGAUAAUACUCAAAGGAAUUGACGGGGAACCGCACAAGCGGCGGAGCAUGCGGAUUAAUUCGAUGCAACGCGAAGAACCUUACCAAGGCUUGACAUACACGAGAACGGGCCAGAAACUGCGUCAACUCUUUGGACAUGUCUCGUGAACAGGUGGUGCAUGGUUGUCGUCAGCUCGUGUCGUGAGAUGUUGGGUUAAGUCCCGCAACGAGCGCAACCCUCGUUCUAUGUUGCCAGCACGUAAUGGUGGGAACUCAUGGGAUACUGCCGGGGUCAACUCGGAGGAAGGUGGGGAUGACGUCAAAUCAUCAUGCCCCUUAUGUCUUGGGCUUCACGCAUGCUACAAUGGCCGGUACAAUGGGCUGCAAUACCGUGAGGUGGAGCGAAUCCCAAAAAGCCGGUCCCAGUUCUGGAUUGAGGUCUGUCAUCACUCGGACCUCAUGAAGUCGGAGUCGCUAGUAAUCGCAGAUCAGCAACGCUGCGGUGAAUACGUUCCCGGGUCUUGUACACACCGCCCGUCAAGUCAUGAAAGUCGGUAACACCUGAAGCCGGUGGCCUAACCCCUUGUGGGAGGGAGCUGUCGAAGGUGGGAUCGGUAAUUAGGACUAAGUCGUAACAA